GUCUAUGGCCAUACCAACCUGAACAUGCCUGAUCUUGUCUGAUCUCAGAAGCUAAGCAGGUUUGGGUCUGGUUAGUACUUGGAUGGGAAAAGGCAUUUCAGGAGACCCCAGGAACCAUAUAAA
Ribosomal RNA from Cercocebus atys (sooty mangabey), 123 nucleotides. NCBI's taxonomy places the organism in Eukaryota, Metazoa, Chordata, Mammalia, Primates, Cercopithecidae. The record is from Ensembl.